UUUAAACUCAAAGGAAUUGACGGGGGCCCGCACAAGCGGUGGAGCAUGUGGUUUAAUUCGAAGCAACGCGAAGAACCUUACCAGGUCUUGACAUCCUCUGACAACCCUAGAGAUAGGGCUUCUCCUUCGGGAGCAGAGUGACAGGUGGUGCAUGGUUGUCGUCAGCUCGUGUCGUGAGAUGUUGGGUUAAGUCCCGCAACGAGCGCAACCCUUGAUCUUAGUUGCCAUCAUUCAGUUGGGCACUCUAAGGUGACUGCCGGUGACAAACCGGAGGAAGGUGGGGAUGACGUCAAAUCAUCAUGCCCCUUAUGACCUGGGCUACACACGUGCUACAAUGGACGGUACAAAGAGCUGCAAGACCGCGAGGUGGAGCUAAUCUCAUAAAACCGUUCUCAGUUCGGAUUGUAGGCUGCAACUCGCCUACAUGAAGCUGGAAUCGCUAGUAAUCGCGGAUCAGCAGCUCGUCUGUAAUUC
RNAcentral lists this ribosomal RNA (474 nucleotides) under Bacillus cereus. Its description in RNAcentral is "bacterial SSU rRNA". It matches the Rfam family "Bacterial small subunit ribosomal RNA", at positions 894 to 1368 of the family's 1533-position model. Lineage: Bacteria; Bacillati; Bacillota; Bacilli; Caryophanales; Bacillaceae. The record is from RNAcentral.